UGCAAGUCGAACGGUGAACAGGAAGCAGCUUGGUGCUUCGCUGACGAGUGGCGGACGGGUGAGUAAUGUCUGGGAAACUGCCUGAUGGAGGGGGAUAACUACUGGAAACGGUAGCUAAUACCGCAUAACGUCGCAAGACCAAAGAGGGGGACCUUAGGGCCUCUUGCCAUCGGAUGUGCCCAGAUGGGAUUAGCUAGUAGGUGGGGUAACGGCUCACCUAGGCGACGAUCCCUAGCUGGUCUGAGAGGAUGACCAGCCACACUGGAACUGAGACACGGUCCAGACUCCUACGGGAGGCAGCAGUGGGGAAUAUUGCACAAUGGGCGCAAGCCUGAUGCAGCCAUGCCGCGUGUAUGAAGAAGGCCUUCGGGUUGUAAAGUACUUUCAGCGGGGAGGAAGGGAGUAAAGUUAAUACCUUUGCUCAUUGACGUUACCCGCAGAAGAAGCACCGGCUAACUCCGUGCCAGCAGCCGCGGUAAUACGGAGGGUGCAAGCGUUAAUCGGAAUUACUGGGCGUAAAGCGCACGCAGGCGGUUUGUUAAGUCAGAUGUGAAAUCCCCGGGCUCAACCUGGGAACUGCAUCUGAUACUGGCAAGCUUGAGUCUCGUAGAGGGGGGUAGAAUUCCAGGUGUAGCGGUGAAAUGCGUAGAGAUCUGGAGGAAUACCGGUGGCGAAGGCGGCCCCCUGGACGAAGACUGACGCUCAGGUGCGAAAGCGUGGGGAGCAAACAGGAUUAGA
RNAcentral lists this ribosomal RNA (738 nucleotides) under Escherichia coli. RNAcentral describes it as "bacterial SSU rRNA". It matches the Rfam family "Bacterial small subunit ribosomal RNA", at positions 56 to 782 of the family's 1533-position model. Lineage: Bacteria; Pseudomonadati; Pseudomonadota; Gammaproteobacteria; Enterobacterales; Enterobacteriaceae. The record is from RNAcentral.